This 95-nucleotide microRNA precursor is filed under the name Ornithorhynchus anatinus (platypus). RNAcentral describes it as "microRNA oan-mir-1420g precursor". It matches the Rfam family "mir-1420 microRNA precursor family". The record is from miRBase by way of RNAcentral. Lineage: Eukaryota; Metazoa; Chordata; Mammalia; Monotremata; Ornithorhynchidae.
UUGCUUAAUCCAGCCUAUCCGGCCUGGGAGCACUCUCUAGUGAUAUACAUGGGGAAAUUGCCACCAGGUCAGAUGGGUUUGGUUGGCUCACUGCU